This 493-nucleotide ribosomal RNA is filed under the name uncultured bacterium. Its description in RNAcentral is "bacterial SSU rRNA". It matches the Rfam family "Bacterial small subunit ribosomal RNA", at positions 20 to 507 of the family's 1533-position model. The record is from RNAcentral.
UGGCUCAGAUUGAACGCUGGCGGAAUGCUUUACACAUGCAAGUCGAACGGCAGCGACGGGGCAACCGUGGUGGCGAGUGGCGAACGGGUGAGUAAUACAUCGGAACGUCGCCCAAUCGGUGGGGAUAACGUAGCGAAAGUUACGCUAAUACCGCAUACGAUCUACGGAUGAAAGCGGGGGAUCGCAAGACCUCGCGCGAAUGGAGCGGCCGAUGUCAGAUUAGGUAGUUGGUGGGGUAAAGGCUCACCAAGCCAAUGAUCUGUAGCUGGUCUGAGAGGACGACCAGCCACACUGGAACUGAGACACGGUCCAGACUCCUACGGGAGGCAGCAGUGGGGAAUUUUGGACAAUGGGCGCAAGCCUGAUCCAGCCAUUCCGCGUGCAGGAUGAAGGCCUUCGGGUUGUAAACUGCUUUUGUACGGAACGAAACGGUCUGCCCUAAUACGGCGGGCUAAUGACGGUACCGUAAGAAUAAGCACCGGCUAACUACGUG